This 220-nucleotide long non-coding RNA is filed under the name Bos indicus x Bos taurus (hybrid cattle). RNAcentral describes it as "lncRNA (ENSBIXG00000015436.1)". The record is from RNAcentral. Lineage: Eukaryota; Metazoa; Chordata; Mammalia; Artiodactyla; Bovidae.
AUGAUCCUCCUGUUCUCUUGGAUCUUCGCCACAGGUUUUUUCUUUUAUGCCAAACAAAAUGGUCUCUUCAUUGUUGAAAGGGCUGGUAAAUGCCAAGAGAAUUCUCCUGCUGUAAAUGACAUUUUUGCUCUACCACUUCUUUUCAUCCAACUGAGAGGACCUAGAUAAUCACAUGUGAAAAGACAGUUUCUGCAAGGCUUCUGCUCAGGAGGAUGCCACG